UGGGGAAUUUUGGACAAUGGGCGCAAGCCUGAUCCAGCCAUGCCGCGUGAGUGAAGAAGGCCUUCGGGUUGUAAAGCUCUUUCGGCUGGGACGAAAAGGUCCGUGCUAACACCACGGAUCCAUGACGGUACCAGCAGAAGAAGCACCGGCUAACUACGUGCCAGCAGCCGCGGUAAUACGUAGGGUGCAGGCGUUAAUCGGAAUUACUGGGCGUAAAGCGUGCGCAGGCGGUUUGCUAAGACAGGUGUGAAAUCCCCGGGCUUAACCUGGGAACUGCGCUUGUAACUGGCAAGCUAGAGUGUGGCAGAGGGGGGUGGAAUUCCACGUGUAGCAGUGAAAUGCGUAGAGAUGUGGAGGAACACCGAUGGCGAAGGCAGCCCCCUGGGCUAACACUGACGCUCAUGCACGAAAGCGUGGGGAGCAAACAGG
This 429-nucleotide ribosomal RNA is filed under the name uncultured bacterium. RNAcentral describes it as "bacterial SSU rRNA". It matches the Rfam family "Bacterial small subunit ribosomal RNA", at positions 355 to 776 of the family's 1533-position model. The record is from RNAcentral.